CUCUUAUCCAGAGUGGCGGAGGGAUGUGCCCUAUGAAGCCCGGCAACCGUCUAUAUUAUAGAAAUGGUGCCAAUUCACAUAAAGCAACGAUUUGCUUUUGAAGAUGAGAG
This 110-nucleotide non-coding RNA is filed under the name Staphylococcus pseudintermedius. RNAcentral's name for it is "SAM-I sequence". It matches the Rfam family "SAM riboswitch aptamer (S box leader)". From Rfam's summary of the family: The SAM riboswitch is found upstream of a number of genes which code for proteins involved in methionine or cysteine biosynthesis in Gram-positive bacteria. Lineage: Bacteria; Bacillati; Bacillota; Bacilli; Caryophanales; Staphylococcaceae. The record is from RNAcentral.